UUGACGGGGACCCGCACAAGCAGCGGAGCGUGUGGUUUAAUUCGUUGCUACACGAAGAACCUUACCUGGGUUUGACAUAUAAGUUGUAGGGAACUGAAAAGGGACGACCCUUCGGGGAGCUUAUACAGGUGUUGCAUGGCUGUCGUCAGCUCGUGUCGUGAGAUGUUCGGUUAAGUCCGCUAACGAGCGCAACCCUCGCCGUAUGUUACAAGUGUCAUACGGGACUGCCGGUAAAAGCCGGAGGGAGGUGAGGAUGAUGUCAAGUCAGCAUGACCUUUAUAUCCAGGGCUACACACACGCUACAAUGGUCUGUACAAUUGGUUGCCAAGCCGCGAGGCGGAGCCAAUCCGUAAAGCAGGCCUCAGUUCAGAUUGCAGUCUGCAACUCGACUGCAUGAAGCCGGAGUUGCUAGUAACCGCAGGUCAGCAAUACUGCGGUGAAUACGUUCCCGGGUCUU
RNAcentral lists this ribosomal RNA (457 nucleotides) under uncultured Anaerolineaceae bacterium. Its description in RNAcentral is "bacterial SSU rRNA". It matches the Rfam family "Bacterial small subunit ribosomal RNA", at positions 910 to 1382 of the family's 1533-position model. The record is from RNAcentral. Lineage: Bacteria; Bacillati; Chloroflexota; Anaerolineae; Anaerolineales; Anaerolineaceae.